RNAcentral lists this small nuclear RNA (110 nucleotides) under Carlito syrichta (Philippine tarsier). The record is from RNAcentral. Lineage: Eukaryota; Metazoa; Chordata; Mammalia; Primates; Tarsiidae.
CUGCUUGACUUGGCAGCACAUAUUGGAAUGAAAAUUGGAACAACUCAAUGAAGAUUAGCAUGAUUCUGCACAAGGAUGCCAUCCAAAUACAUCAAGUGUUCCGUUUUUAA